Small nucleolar RNA from Callithrix jacchus (white-tufted-ear marmoset), 102 nucleotides. NCBI's taxonomy places the organism in Eukaryota, Metazoa, Chordata, Mammalia, Primates, Cebidae. The record is from Ensembl.
AUCUUUUGGUAGUAUAAGUGUGAUCAUUGGAUUUUCAUGCUCAUGCGUGAUGCAUGCCUCCCUCAAACCUUGCUAUGACACCAGCACAUUAUUUAUGUGCCA